RNAcentral lists this ribosomal RNA (650 nucleotides) under uncultured bacterium. RNAcentral describes it as "bacterial SSU rRNA". It matches the Rfam family "Bacterial small subunit ribosomal RNA", at positions 8 to 653 of the family's 1533-position model. The record is from RNAcentral.
AGAGUUUGAUCAUGGCUCAGAUUGAACGCUGGCGGCAGGCCUAACACAUGCAAGUCGAGCGGUAACAGAAAGUAGCUUGCUACUUUGCUGACGAGCGGCGGACGGGUGAGUAAUGCUUGGGAACAUGCCUUGAGGUGGGGGACAACAGUUGGAAACGACUGCUAAUACCGCAUAAUGUCUACGGACCAAAGGGGGCUUCGGCUCUCGCCUUUAGAUUGGCCCAAGUGGGAUUAGCUAGUUGGUGAGGUAAUGGCUCACCAAGGCAACGAUCCCUAGCUGGUUUGAGAGGAUGAUCAGCCACACUGGAACUGAGACACGGUCCAGACUCCUACGGGAGGCAGCAGUGGGGAAUAUUGCACAAUGGGCGAAAGCCUGAUGCAGCCAUGCCGCGUGUGUGAAGAAGGCCUUCGGGUUGUAAAGCACUUUCAGUCAGGAGGAAAGGGUGUGAGUUAAUACCUCACAUCUGUGACGUUACUGACAGAAGAAGCACCGGCUAACUCCGUGCCAGCAGCCGCGGUAAUACGGAGGGUGCGAGCGUUAAUCGGAAUUACUGGGCGUAAAGCGUACGCAGGCGGUUUGUUAAGCGAGAUGUGAAAGCCCCGGGCUCAACCUGGGAACUGCAUUUCGAACUGGCAAACUAGAGUGUGAUA